AUUGAACGCUGGCGGCAGGCCUAACACAUGCAAGUCGAGCGGGGUUUUCGGACCUAGCGGCGGACGGGUGAGUAAUGCGUAGGAAGCUGCCCGAUAGAGGGGGAUACCAGUUGGAAACGACUGUUAAUACCGCAUAAUGUCUACGGACCAAAGAGUGGGACCUUCGGGCCACAUGCUAUCGGAUGCGCCUACGUGGGAUU
This 200-nucleotide ribosomal RNA is filed under the name uncultured bacterium. RNAcentral's name for it is "partial 16S ribosomal RNA". It matches the Rfam family "Bacterial small subunit ribosomal RNA", at positions 30 to 242 of the family's 1533-position model. The record is from RNAcentral.